RNAcentral lists this ribosomal RNA (253 nucleotides) under uncultured bacterium. RNAcentral's name for it is "partial 16S ribosomal RNA". It matches the Rfam family "Bacterial small subunit ribosomal RNA", at positions 524 to 776 of the family's 1533-position model. The record is from RNAcentral.
UACGGAGGGGGCGAGCGUUAUUCGGAAUUACUGGGCGUAAAGUGUGCGCAGGCGGCAGAGCAAGUCGAGUGUGAAAGCCCCGGGCUUAACUUGAGAAUUGCGCUCGAAACUACUUUGCUGGAGUGUGGCAGAGGAAGGUGGAAUUCCACGUGUAGCGGUGAAAUGCGUAGAGAUGUGGAGGAACACCAAUGGCGAAGGCAGCCUUCUGGGCCAACACUGACGCUCAUGCACGAAAGCGUGGGGAGCAAACAGG